AUGCCUUUUCUUUUUAUUCUGGGGAAUUUUAAUAAAAGCACAAAGCCAAGACUGCCAGAGUGCAGAGCUGUUCUCUCCGGGACAGAACCAAGAGCCCUCCUGCAGCUCCGGAUGACGUCCAUGUCUCAUUGGGUCGCUGGGACAAUUUGGAUGCCGGAUUCUCUGCUUGUAACUCCUUUUGGGAAUGUCAUUGUUUUAUAUUAUGCAUGACACAGAUCCUACACUAUACACAACGCAGCUGCUGGUGAGAGAGAACCAGUCCUGAGAUGCAGAGGAGCCCCCCGAGCUCAGCGUGGCUUGUCUGAAAACAGGAUUUGCUAGUGGAGGCAUUGCCACCUCCACUAUCCAAGCCCCAUGAGGCUGACAUGAGGCACCGAGCCCUGAUCUGCGGGGCCGUGGUGGUCCCUGCCCCUCCACUCACUGCCAUGCUUCUCCUCAAAGACACCAGUGCUGGUAUCAGUGCACUCCCUUUUCUGGGGGAAACCAAUACACUUGCUUUUCAUGCCAGCUAACUCAAGAUGUUGAUUUGAUUUUGCUCUGCUCUUUUCUGCCACAUGCAUGCACAGUGAACCUAAUUUUUAAAGUUUGAUGACUUUCAGGAAGAUAAUAUCCAUAACAAUCGUGACAUCUGAGAUAGUCCCACCCUGGCAGCAUUAUAGGAAACUGACUGGCCUUUCUCUGGAAAAUGCAGGCACCGAAUGCCGAGUCCCGGUGCAUGGAAUUUCUCAGAGCCGGGCACAAACAUCCACGAGGGCAGCAGAUGAAAGACUCCCACUCCUGAAGCUUGCACACUUCUCCGGGCAACCACCACUGCUGUCUGGGCGACCAGACUCCCGGGGACUGCCAGGGGAUUUCCCAGAUCGGCACUGCCUUGGGGGUCCAGCUGGAAGGGUACGGCACAGCACGCCACCGGAGCACCGGGGCAGUUCGAACAUCGCCACGCAGCCGCCGGGCACGGUGAGCGCUGCGAGGCCGGCUCUGGCCGGACACAGUGGCGGCUGCAGGGCUGAGUGCUCGUGCCCGCAAAUCCCGGGGGAAUGUGAUCCCAAAGUGAUGGCCAUCCUCGGGAGCCAUGGCCACUCGGAGAACAACAUAAUGUCAGGUCCUGACAUGUCUUCUCGAAACGGGAAAAAACAUGCCGUGGGAAAGGAGCCCCCUGCACCAUUUGGGAGCCCGCAGCUCUGGUGCCGUGCCCAGCCUCGGGCGAGCAGCUCGGAGGGGCUCACGGCGGCACAGCCGGGGCGUGGGGCCACUCUGGGAGCAGCUGGACAGGCCACGAAUUCCUGCCGGCGGCCGGCCCGGCGGGGCAUAGCAACGGGAGCCGGGGGAGGAACGGGAAGCAGCGGGAGCUGUGAGAAAGCGAGCGGCGCCGCGGAGAGAGGCGGGGGCGCGGAGGAGGAGGAGGAGGGGGCAGGGGCGGCCAGGCCGGGUUGCGCGGCGGCGGCUCGGGCCCUCCCGCCGGGCACGGCUCCUCUCCGGGCAGCCGUACGCCACCCAAAGCCGCCGGUUUGCGGCCGCUGAGGUUCCCGCCAGCCUGCGCCGGGCUCGAUCCCCGCGACACGCACCGCGCUGCCGCCAGCCCCGCAGCGGGGGUCGGGGCCCUGCUGCCUCCCCCCGCCGCUCCCAGCCGGGGCACGCACCGAGCGCCCCCGCCAGCGCUGGCUGCCCGCCUCUCGCAGCGCCGCUGUCUCGGCCGAGGCUGCGGAACGGCAUCGCUCCCCGGGCCACGGGGGCGUUUGAAGUGCCGUGGCCCCGGGGUCCCUCCUCCGCUCGGUGCAGCCGUGGCUGCUCCGCACAGGGUCCAGCUCCCGAGGAGAACCAGCCUCGCCGGGGGCAGGCAUUGCGAAGCCACUAGAUUUCAUGUCAGAAAGGAUGUUUUACUGCACGAGUUUGUUCUCCUGCUUGAAGAAAAUGUUAAUCAAAAUGCAGAGGAGACACAAUAGCUGUACAGAUACAUUAAAUAUCUAGUUACUACGCAAUAAAUAAUUAAUAAAGUUAAUCUAUUUCACCAAUCUCUGGUCAAGUAAUACCCUUACAACCAAUCAAUAGCAAUAAGGCAUAACAUUUGUAUGAGCCUUCUCUUUGCUGUGUGAUCAUUAAUAACCAACAGCUGAGCACUCCCGAUAUCGAAGGCCAGCAAAAACUUCAGAAAGUUUCGAUUACGU
This 2165-nucleotide long non-coding RNA is filed under the name Corvus moneduloides (New Caledonian crow). Its description in RNAcentral is "lncRNA (ENSCMUG00000018312.1)". The record is from RNAcentral. Lineage: Eukaryota; Metazoa; Chordata; Aves; Passeriformes; Corvidae.